AGCGAACGCUGGCGGCAGGCUUAACACAUGCAAGUCGAGCGGGCACCUUCGGGUGUCAGCGGCAGACGGGUGAGUAACACGUGGGAACGUGCCCUUCGGUUCGGAAUAACUCAGGGAAACUUGAGCUAAUACCGGAUACGCCCUUUUGGGGAAAGGUUUACUGCCGAAGGAUCGGCCCGCGUCUGAUUAGCUAGUUGGUGGGGUAACGGCCUACCAAGGCGACGAUCAGUAGCUGGUCUGAGAGGAUGAUCAGCCACACUGGGACUGAGACACGGCCCAGACUCCUACGGGAGGCAGCAGUGGGGAAUAUUGGACAAUGGGCGCAAGCCUGAUCCAGCCAUGCCGCGUGAGUGAUGAAGGCCUUAGGGUUGUAAAGCUCUUUUGUCCGGGACGAUAAUGACGGUACCGGAAGAAUAAGCCCCGGCUAACUUCGUGCCAGCCGCCGCCGUAA
This 451-nucleotide ribosomal RNA is filed under the name uncultured bacterium. Its description in RNAcentral is "partial 16S ribosomal RNA". It matches the Rfam family "Bacterial small subunit ribosomal RNA", at positions 29 to 523 of the family's 1533-position model. The record is from RNAcentral.